CGAUGGCAGAUGAUCGCUGGUGAAUCGCUUGCGGUUCGCUGGAGGAAAGUCCGAACACCAUACGGCAGCAUGCCGCGUAAAAUACGCGGGCGACGUUCGCGAAAGUGGACGUUGACGGAGAGUGUCACAGAAAAAACACCGCCGGUUCUUUGAGAAAAGCACGGGCAAGGGUGAAAAGGCGAGGUAAGAGCUCACCGCUCGCGGAGCAAUUCGCGAGGCACGAAAAACCCCAUGCGGUGCAAGACAAAACAGAGGAAGGGAAGCCGGCCCGGUUUAAUCCUCGGGUAUCGUCGCAUCACGAUGCUGUAGCGGCGGUCUGUGACCGCCGAAACGUCAUCGGGCAUCCCGCGCAAGCAGGAUGAGAUAAAUGAUCAUCCCGGCUGAGAAAUCAGCCAGACAGAAUUCGGCUUAUCGCCAUCGAAAC
This 424-nucleotide RNase P RNA is filed under the name Verrucomicrobiota bacterium. Its description in RNAcentral is "Verrucomicrobia bacterium RNase P RNA component class A". It matches the Rfam family "Bacterial RNase P class A". From Rfam's summary of the family: Ribonuclease P (RNase P) is a ubiquitous endoribonuclease, found in archaea, bacteria and eukarya as well as chloroplasts and mitochondria. Its best characterised activity is the generation of mature 5'-ends of tRNAs by cleaving the 5'-leader elements of precursor-tRNAs. The record is from RNAcentral. Lineage: Bacteria; Pseudomonadati; Verrucomicrobiota.